UCGCACAUUGAUUUUCACUGG
Molecule: non-coding RNA, 21 nt
Filed under: Caenorhabditis elegans
Lineage: Eukaryota; Metazoa; Nematoda; Chromadorea; Rhabditida; Rhabditidae
Source: RNAcentral